GAUGAACGCUGGCGGCGUGCCUAAUACAUGCAAGUCGAGCGAACAGACGAGGAGCUUGCUCCUUCGACGUUAGCGGCGGACGGGUGAGUAACACGUAGGUAACCUACCUAUAAGACUGGGAUAACUUCGGGAAACCGGAGCUAAUACCGGAUAAUAUUUCGAACCGCAUGGUUCGAUAGUGAAAGAUGGCUUUGCUAUCACUUAUAGAUGGACCUGCGCCGUAUUAGCUAGUUGGUAAGGUAACGGCUUACCAAGGCAACGAUACGUAGCCGACCUGAGAGGGUGAUAGGCCGCACUGGAACUGAGACCGGGACAAGACUCCUACGGGAGGCAGCAGAAGGGAAUCUGCGGCAAGGGUCGAAAGCCUGACGGAGCAAGGCGGCGUGAGUGAUGAAGGUCUUCGGUUCGUAAAACUCUGUUAUUGGGUAAGAACAAACGUGUAAUUAACUGUGCAGGGCUUGACGGUACCUAAUCAGAAAGCCACGGCUAACUACGUG
RNAcentral lists this ribosomal RNA (497 nucleotides) under uncultured bacterium. RNAcentral describes it as "partial 16S ribosomal RNA". It matches the Rfam family "Bacterial small subunit ribosomal RNA", at positions 28 to 507 of the family's 1533-position model. The record is from RNAcentral.